UGAGCUAUAUACUGCUUUGGUGAGAUCUCGGCAUCUCGCAUAAGAAUCUGCACUGUGUGGAGGGUUCCAGCAUCAAGUUUAAAUUCGAACUCGAAUCAAACGAACCUAACUCCAAGUUGGUUAUUUCGCACGUGCAAAAGUUCUUGUUUCACUUUCAGACUUCAGUACGAGUUUGGCGGUCACUGGUAAAUCUAAUUAUUAAUCUCCGCUCCCUCUUUAGUGAAAACUGCGAUGCCCAUGCACAUUUUCGCAUUCUGUAUAGCAUGUACGUGUACAUACAACAUCACAUGCCAUUUCAGGAGUACGAUUUUCAUUCUGGGUGGCAUUCGAAGACUACCCUGUUUAUACCCACGAGGUAGUAUGGUGGAAAGUGUUUCACAAAAUUUCAAGUUCAUUUGAACUAGAACAAAGCAGUCUGUGUUUUCUUUCUUGUCAUUAUAUGUCGGGCAACAUAACAGUCUUAUUACCUUGUUAGUAGGAGGUUUCAUUAUUAAAAAAGGACUUCUUAGACCUAAUGUCGGUAUGACUGAUCGCAAGCUUCUUCGGGAACAUUGUGAAGCUUUAGUUUAUAGGUAACUGUGGCAGCUGUAUUACUAGCCUCUACCGUUUUGAGACAUCUCACUACGUCAAGUAAUUGUGUAUAGAAAACUUUAUGUUUAAUAGCAUUCAGUGCGUUAGUAGAAUUGAUAGUGUGCGUUCGUGUACUUACAUGCAUGUGGGGUGUGUUAAUUUAGACUUCCUGGUGUCGGGAACGUAAUAUUGUACAUCGACAAGUCACAAAUGUACGCGGCAGCCACUCCACAGGCCAACAACCAGGGCCACCCGGUGCUUGGAUUACCAACUUUGUUACACAUAAAAAGAAUAACUACCUAAAGAGCAGGGGAUCACAUUACACAAACAUUGAAACCCGCUGAUACGAAUAGAAUUUGUAGUUCAAUAACUACAAUUGGUACUACGCUCAAAAUCUGCAUGAGUAUUAAUACCCAUUUCCAAACACGGUCACAUAAACAACUGUUUAUUGUCAGGGAUGUUUGCUCAUUACCGGACACCCUAGCUUGCAACACCCCCGCCACUGAGGUGUAGUUUGAGUGGAUGGAGGCAUAUUGGUGGUGAGAGAAUUUACUUCGGAAAUUCUUGGGCAGUUGUAGUACAAAUAUUGCUGGAACAGAAGGGACGUAUAUCCAGGAUGCUUGGAAGGACAUUCAGGAGACAGGUCUGCAAUUUCCCUGCUGUGAAGGUUGAUCACCCCUUGUCCUAUCGCUCUGGGCCUGUAAGAAAUGCUGCGAAUCAUCACACUUGUCUCUAAACACGUGCUCAUUUUCAACUGUUCCAGUCCAUGGC
Macrobrachium nipponense is the source of this 1341-nucleotide long non-coding RNA. RefSeq lists it as uncharacterized. The record is from RefSeq and is a predicted model, not a curated record. The transcript has 4 exons. NCBI's taxonomy places the organism in Eukaryota, Metazoa, Arthropoda, Malacostraca, Decapoda, Palaemonidae.